This 30-nucleotide ribosomal RNA is filed under the name Aphanomyces piscicida. RNAcentral's name for it is "partial 28S ribosomal RNA". Lineage: Eukaryota; Oomycota; Saprolegniomycetes; Saprolegniales; Verrucalvaceae. The record is from RNAcentral.
CAGACAAGACUACCCGCUGAACUUAAGCUA